AUCUCUCUAUUUGCAUCUGAGUUUAUCAUAGAUGAAUCUUGUGUGUAGGGUUCUGGAUCUAGUUUUUCACAUCUGCUUGAAUUAAGACAGGAUUUUUACAUCUUUUCAUAGCUGAAGAACCUUGCUCCGCUGGAUCUGACGGGUCAACCCAAUUCUGAGCUUGCACGAGCUAGGUUUGCCAACAGCAGCCCGUCUUGAUCUAGCUUGCUAAUUGAAGACUGUUUUUAUGUAGUGGGGUGAAAAUCCGAAUUAGAUGCGUCUCCUAUUCGAUUAUUAUCUACACAAAAACAUCUCUCCCUUUCUCAAUGUAAAUUUAAGCCUUGCAUUGAUCCUCAUCAUACAUGCACCAUCCUGCAUCACAAGCGGGCCCGUACGAAAUGGUCCCAUCAUGAGCAUGAAGACGACGAAUAAGGGUUAAAGGUAGAUGAUUGACGAAGGUAGCAAGCCCGUUGUUGCUAGCGGGGAGAUAGAUGCCUCCUUUCAAGACAGCCACCGGUUUCAAGCAGCCAAUUGUAUGUGAUUUAAAAUAAGAUCACCAAGGGACAAGAUUGUAGAUUAGAUGCUUAAUCACUCCAUUGCUUGUUGUGGUGUGGUUGCCAGGGGGCCAAUUAUAAUCCUCUUAAUAAAGAAAAGAAAAUCGAUAAAACAAAGCGCGUAGGAGAUGAUCUUCUUAAUAAAGCAAGAGCCUUUAAAGCAUUGGGGAUUGGA
This is a long non-coding RNA of Populus euphratica (Euphrates poplar), 708 nucleotides long. RefSeq lists it as uncharacterized. The record is from RefSeq and is a predicted model, not a curated record. Lineage: Eukaryota; Viridiplantae; Streptophyta; Magnoliopsida; Malpighiales; Salicaceae. The transcript is spliced from 3 exons.